Molecule: ribosomal RNA, 446 nt
Filed under: uncultured bacterium
Lineage: Bacteria
Description: bacterial SSU rRNA
Rfam family: Bacterial small subunit ribosomal RNA
Source: RNAcentral
UCCAGACUCCUACGGGAGGCAGCAGUGGGGGAUAUUGCACAAUGGGGGAAACCCUGAUGCAGCGAUGCCGCGUGAGUGAAGACGGCCUUCGGGUUGUAAGGCUCUGUCGCAGAGGACGAAAAUGACGGUACUCUGCAAGAAAGCUCCGGCUAACUACGUGCCAGCAGCCGCGGUAAUACGUAGGGAGCAAGCGUUGUCCGGAUUUACUGGGUGUAAAGGGCGUGCAGCCGGGAAGACAAGUCAGAUGUGAAAUCCCGCGGCUCAACCGCGGAACUGCAUUUGAAACUGUUUUUCUUGAGUACCGGAGAGGUCAUCGGAAUUCCUUGUGUAGCGGUGAAAUGCGUAGAUAUAAGGAAGAACACCAGUGGCGAAGGCGGAUGACUGGACGGCAACUGACGGUGAGGCGCGAAAGCGUGGGGAGCAAACAGGAUUAGAUACCCCCGUAA